Pan troglodytes (chimpanzee) is the source of this 1086-nucleotide long non-coding RNA. RefSeq lists it as uncharacterized. Lineage: Eukaryota; Metazoa; Chordata; Mammalia; Primates; Hominidae. The transcript is spliced from 2 exons. The record is from RefSeq and is a predicted model, not a curated record.
UAAUGUGUAGCGGAAAACUCGUCAAUUCUGAGAGCAGGAAUCUUGGGAAUUAUUUUUCCCUUUUCUCCCGGUAUCUUAUAUUUUUUGCCAUUUUUCUGGAAUUCUCUAAUCAGCCCUCACUGAUAAAUAAAUGAAAUGAAUUUCUAACUCCCUUCAUAACUCCUUUAUAACUCCUCCUUCUAUGUCCCAGCUAUUAUUCUCAGAACUUUUAUCAUUUAAUCUAUCUUUUUCUAAAAUACUACUAAUGUCUUUGUGUUCCAGGUGAAUAAGCAGAGGCGCAGAGCGGUUAAGUAAUGUGCUCAUUGACUGUGGCUGGUUAUCAGUGAAGUGGAGGUUGGAACCCAGGAUAACUGCGAAGAAGUUUGCUUUUCUUUAUAAACCACUUUUCUUUAUAAACCAUUUAUUCUGCCCCUCUACCACCCCCACUGAAAUAUCUCUUUUUGUGUUUGAAUCUUAUAGAUAAACACCAUUUUUCAACAAAAAUUUGUUCUCCUCAGGGAAAUUAUAUUACGGUUCAUUGAUUGACUGAUUCACAUAUCAGAGUAGGCACUACCUCAUCUUCUUGGAACCAGGAAGAAUUGUUGUAACUGAUCAUUUUCCCUAGCAGUUCACAGUAGUACCAGAGGGCGAUUUGUAGCCUAGUAGUCAGAACCACCCAGAAAUGUUACCUGCCAAAGCCCAGGAGGACUGCAGACCUUGGAGAAAGGAGAGGGGCCAUGGCUUUAGGGGAACUUGCGUUUGCCUCUCUUGGUGUCCAGGAAUGUGAAGCUUGGGUGCACGCUGUGGUCCAGAUCCUGGGGGACAGUCCUUGCAACUGGGUCUCCUGGGAUUGUGCACCGUCAGCCAGUGGGGAAGACGUUUCAGCAGGAGCCUUGAGGUGACUGGCCCACUGCUGUAGCAGCUGCCCUGCCUCUCCCUUGCGGACCAGCAUCAGAAUCCUCAGUGUUAAAUGGACUCAUCAUCCGUGUCAUUUUGCAUCAUCAGUCUUUGGGGCUGCACCUUGUGUAUUCCCCAUUUCUUGAGGUUGCCAGAGCCCCAAGUCUGCUUCUUGACCCGUGAUGUUCCUCGGAUUUGCCAGAGUGAUGG